AUUGAACGCUGGCGGCAGGCCUAACACAUGCAAGUCGAACGGUAACAGGAAGCAGCUUGCUGCUUCGCUGACGAGUGGCGGACGGGUGAGUAAUGUCUGGGAAGCUGCCUGAUGGAGGGGGAUAACUACUGGAAACGGUAGCUAAUACCGCAUAAUGUCGCAAGACCAAAGAGGGGGACCUUCGGGCCUCUUGCCAUCGGAUGUGCCCAGAUGGGAUUAGCUUGUUGGUGGGGUAACGGCUCACCAAGGCGACGAUCCCUAGCUGGUCUGAGAGGAUGACCAGCCACACUGGAACUGAGACACGGUCCAGACUCCUACGGGAGGCAGCAGUGGGGAAUAUUGCACAAUGGGCGCAAGCCUGAUGCAGCCAUGCCGCGUGUAUGAAGAAGGCCUUCGGGUUGUAAAGUACUUUCAGCGGGGAGGAAGGGAGCAAAGUUAAUACCUUUGCUCAUUGACGUUACCCGCAGAAGAAGCACCGGCUAACUCCGUG
This 490-nucleotide ribosomal RNA is filed under the name uncultured bacterium. RNAcentral describes it as "partial 16S ribosomal RNA". It matches the Rfam family "Bacterial small subunit ribosomal RNA", at positions 30 to 507 of the family's 1533-position model. The record is from RNAcentral.